UGACACCUGCGCCCUAUUCAAGUGAGCUGGCAUGAUCGCCAGCAGGGGCAUGAUCGCCAGCUCAUAGCAGUAGCGGAUGCAGGCCGUGAUCCAGGAUGAGAUUCUCGGGGUAGACACCAGGCAACCAUUCAUUCUGUCAGCAACAGCAACAAACAAUCGUGUAGACUUACGGAACAGCUUUGUUCUAUCUACUUAGAAGGCUAGUGCCUAUCUGACAUCCAGGGCAUGCAGCCAGUAUUUCUCAUCCGUUCUAUGAAGCUUUCAACAAGGGCCCAGUAGGUAUAUGUCUUGACCAGCAUGGAACUGGGACACGACCUUGGAAAGAAAAGCCAGGUGUGGAUGCAGUCGGACCUUGUCCUUAUAGAAGAUCAUAUAAGGAGGUUCUGACACGAGUGCCCUAAUCUCGGACACCCUACAUGCUGAAGUUAUGGUGACCAAAAAGGAGAUCUUCCAGGAGAGAAGCAGGAGGGAGCAGGAAGCCAAGGGCUCAAAGAAGGGCCCCAAUAGCCUUGACAAUACAAGAUGCAGGUCCCAAGGAGUGACCAGGUCCUGGAUAAGCGGGUAAAGGCACUCCAGACGUUUCAGGAACCAUGCCUUGAAACAAAGGGCAGAAGGCCGAAAUGGCUGCCAGGUGUACCUUGACCAAAGAUAGCGACAGAUCCUGGAGCUUAAGGUGCAGCAAACAGACCAGAAUGUCCUGCAGCGGGGCCUCUUCUGGACGAAUACAGCAAUCCGAGGCCCAACACAAGAACUGUUUCCACUUUGCCACGUAGGUAGUCCUGGUGGAGAGUUUUCUGCUGCCCAGUAGGACCAGCGGAACACUGCCAUUCUUCCCCACUUAGCCACGCAGUAGCCAGGCCAUCAAGUGCAGCACCACCACGUUUGGAUGCAGUAGAUUGCUGUGGUUCUGGGAUAGAUCUGGCUAAAGAGGCAGCUGCAGAGGGGUGGCUGCUGAAAGACUCAGCAGCAUGCCGAACCAACGUAGAUGAGGCCAUGCUGGGGCUCUGAGGAUGACCAUCGCUUUGUCUUGCUUCACCUUUAGCAAGAUCCUGUGGAUUAACGAUAUCGGCGGGAAGGUGUAUAGCAGCGCUCCCAACCAUGGGAUCAGGAAGACAUCUGACAAGGAGCCCAUGUCCCUGUCCUGCAGAGAACAGAACACAUGGGACUUUCUGUUCUGCCUGGACACGAACAGGUCCACCUGGGGAGUUUCCCACCUGUGGAAAACUAGGCUGAUCAUCUCCGGAUGGAGCGACUAUUUGUAGCAUAACGAGAAGGUCCUGCUGAGGUGAUCUGCCAGGACAUUCUUGGUUCUGAGCAGGUGGGCGGCUACUAAAAGAAUGGCAUGCAGCACACAGAAGUCCCAGAGGCUGAGCGCUUCCAGACAAAGGGCCGAAGACCUGGCACCACCCUGCCUGUUGAUGUAAUAUAUCAUGACAGUAUUAUCUGUCAGGACCUGCAACACUUUGCCUUCCAGGUGGGGCAAAAAAGCCUGGCAGGCCAGGCAAACCGCUGGGAUCCUUGACAUUGAUAUGAAGGGCUAGGUCAUGUUGUAGCCAGCAGCCCUGGGUGUUUGAGCUCAUCCAGAUGGGCUCCACAACCCAGAUCCGACACAUCUGAGACCAGGGCGAGUGACAGAGAUGAGGUCGUGAAGGGGACUCCUUGCAGUACUGAUUUGGGAUCCUGCCACCAGUCCAGAGACAAGAGGACAUAGCUCAGCACCGUGGCCACUUGGUCCAGAGGGUGCCUGCUGGGAAUGUAGACUGAGGCCAGAGACCUUAGAUGAAACAGGGCGUGGUUGACCAUGUAUUUUCAUGCGGCCAUGUGGCCGAUAAGUCGUGGGAACAUGUGCACUGUGGUGAGCGGUUGGCUCUUUGAGGGAGAGCAAGUCAAUCAUGGCCUGAAAAUAUGCUUCCAGCACGAAGGCCCGGGUCUGCAUAGAGUCAAGAACCACUCCGAUAAACUCUAUGCGUUGGACUGAUGUUAAUGUGAAUUUUUCUGUAUUUAUUAACAGGCCCAGGUCGCUGCAGGUGGAGCGUACCAAAUCGAGGUUCCUUUGCACCUGCUCCGGAGAUCUGCCCUUGAUGACGCAGUCGUUGAGAUAUGGGAAGAUCUGGACCCCUCAAUGCCUCAGGCCCUUGUUUAGGAUGCCACUGUCGAGGUGGCAGAAAAGGCUGUAACAGCUGUCUCGAUGCCUGAGGAGUGUGCAUCCCCAGAGAACAGAGGGUCGCACGCGUCCUUCAGGCCGUGCAGACACGCAUUCGUUUGGUCAGAGAACAGGCUGUCACCGUCAAACAGGAGGUCCUGAAUAGAGACCUGCAUCUCCUGGAGCCAGGAACUAUGCCACAUGACCACCGCCAAGGCAACCACCCAGGCAGCUGAAUUGUCCAUGUCUCAAGCCAUUUGGAGGGAGCACCAAGCCGCUGCAGUCCCCUCUUCCCUCCACCAGGGUCACAAACUCCUGAACCAUCUCCUGGGACAUGGAAUACUUGAACUUGAGGAGACAGUCCCACAAGUUAAAGUUAUAGUGACUGAAAAGGGCCUGGUGGUUCGUCACCAAAAACUGGAGGCUGGUCGUAGAAUAAAUUUUGUGACCGAACAAAUCCAGCCUCUUGGCCUCCUUAUUUUUAGAGGUGGAACUGGUGGGCCGACGCGACAAAUGAUCUCAGAUGCAGUUGGGUGUACAAGUAAUCAAACCCCUUUGCAGGGACGAAAUACUUCUUUUCUGCCCCUCUUAGAGGUGGGCGGGAUGGAUGACGGGCUUUGCUAAAUGGUUUUGGCAAUGUUAAGGACCACCUUGUGUACUGGGAGUGUGACACAGGCUGGGGCAGAUGCCAAGAGCACAUUGUUUAAUGUGUCCAUCUGCUCCUCUAUCUCCUCCACCUAGAGGCCCAGGUUGGAAGCAACUCUGCGGAGCAGCGCCUGAGGCUCCCUAAAAUCAUCUGGAGGGCUAGCUUGAGGGGCCCGCCACCACCUCAUCCAGAGAGGAGAAGGAUGAUGAUUGGAUUACCAGGAGAGGUCUGGCAAUGUCCUCACAUGUCGGAGAGGGCGGCUUUGGGGUGGGUACCAGCUCCUCACUUGCAGCUGCUGCCGGAGCAUCCUGCACCCAACCCAGUGCCAUGGAUGCCAACUUUGGCCUGUCUGACAUGGUGACCAAGGUUUUGCAGGAGUGGAGCAACAGCAUGACGCGAACGCCCCAGGCAUUCCAAUAAAGCCAUAGGGUUGGCCCCUGGCCCUGCUGCCAGGUCAGAACCGAUACCUCGGAUGCGCCCUCUGGAGCCCAAUCACGAUGCUGUCUGGGCAAGGGGCUGAACUGCGCCUUCCAAGCUGGAGAAGUUGUCACCCUCCAGUGACCAAGGUGGGGCUGUGGAGGCUUAGGUCUGGCGGCUUACCGUUGCCGCCGGUGAUCGGUGGCAGGAACAGUCUGACCGGUGCCAGGACUAGGGCGAGUGGUGCUGCAUUGGGGAGUGACCAGGAGAUCUUGGCGAUGGCGACCAAAAACACGACGAAGACCAGUGCUGGGGAGAUUUUUGACACCUGGGCAAGCUCCAGCGAGAAGACAGGAAUUGGGAGCGUCACGCCGGAGACCUGGACUGACGCAGAGACCAAGAACGUGGUGACCUAGGGCUCUGUCUUGGCUCUGGAGACCGGUAGCGCUCGCUUGUUUUGUGUGAGGCCUUGCUGGUGGGCUUGCAUUCACGGAGAGCCUUACCCGGUUCCAUUUCUGCCUGCAGUGAAACCUGCAGUGGAGGCACUCUUAGCUCUCCAGGAACUGGGGGCUCAGAGGGCGUCAACUGUGCCGUCGGUUUGGGCCCCUUACUGUUCCCUGAAGUCAGUGGCAGGUUCUUUCCAGGGGAUGAACUCCCCAGGGCUGAGCCCUUUUGUGUGUCCAGAGUGGGUGUAAGGUCUUAGCCGGGUCCUUUGCCCAGCACCCCUUGGUCGGGCUUGUUCGGUGCCAUCUUCUUCAUCACUGGGAAUCGGUGCCAGGAGAAGCAUAGUGCCAGGGUGCACUAUGCACCAUAGUUGACACGCUGGGUGCUGGUUUGGGCUGUGCCUGCUCCAAACCUGGGCGUUGGGAAGCACUGCAUCAGGAGGGCCUUGAGGCAUAUGUCGUGCUCUCUUUGUGUCCAAGGAUGAAAGUUCUGGCAGAUGCGACAGCGCUCCUUUAUGUGGGAUUCCCUGAGGAACUGUAGACAUCUCUUGUCCAGGUCACUAACAGGCACAGGCCUGUUACACAAAGAGCAGGGCUUGAAACCUGGAGACCGGGGCAUGCCUCGCCUGAGACAAAGUCCCCACUGGGACACUAUCUAACUAAACACUUAACUGCUAACUAACAAUGAUUAAACUAUUUACAGUUGAAGCACAAGGCUAAGAUAGAAGAGAAACCUCUGAUCGCCUGGGAAGCAAAGGACAGAGGUGCUCUGACUGACCGCCGCAGGUGGUAGGAAGGAACUAAGAGGGCACAGGGCUGGCAGCACCUGAUAUACCGUGGCAUGAAUGUGGCACUCCAGAGAGUGCCACAGCUGGCCCUACGGGAACCGCUAAGGCAAAAGUCGCUGACGACCGCACACAUGGCUGUGCACACACCUACAAUGGAAUCAACAUGAGCAAGCACUUCAAGAACAAUAAAAAAUUAGUAGAUUUUUUUUAAAUAAUUAUUUUUUAAAAUAUAAAUAUGUACAGAUAAUGUAUAUGUAUAGAUAUAAUUUUAAAAGUUGUGAGAAUCUUUAACAUUAGCCAUUCUAUCAGAUAGAUAUUUUCCUUUACCUUAUUAGGGAAGUGAAAUAAUACUUCACAUUUUUCAGAAGGGGAGGGAAGAAAAAAGUAGAGAGAUAUGGGUGGAAGGAGAAAUAUGUAUAUAAAUUAAAAGCUAAAGCUAAUGAAAAUAUAUUGAUUGUUAGAACAAGUAAAAUGAUAGUUCAGCAUUAUACGUAGAGAAAUGCAUACAUUUUUAACUCAGAAACUGAAUGGUCAUAAUAUGCAAUAAUGUCCUUAGUGCAGCCUUGUAAAUUAUGAAAAUUUACUAUCAGGUGCAAAAUCUACUUGCCCAUCUUCACCAUGAUUAUAAUGGGAGGAAAUAUUUUAUUUCCUUCAGGUGAGUGAGCAACUAGAAUUCAAUGUUGAUUUAGCACAUAUAAUAAUCAUGUGAGGUGAUCAAAAUGCUAAGCUUUCUAAAAUGAAUAUGCAUUCUUGUCAGAUAUUUAUUUUGAUUAAUCAGCGUUUUAGAUAUGCUAAUUUUACUAAUGGACAUUGGCUCAGUAAAAAUUGCUCACUAUACCAUUAUUGGAAAAAAACAACAACUAUAUUGUCUUAGUGAGCAGCUCAUUACAGGGAUCGUUCAAACAAUUUUUAAAAAAUACAUUUUAUUAAUUAGAAGUUUAAAGAACUUUGCUCUCAAUAAUAAAAUCAAUCUAUUACUUUGGAAUGAUUUUUAGGUGUAACAAACAAACAGUGCAAAUCAAAAUGUUAUUAAUGCUUCAAAAUGAAUUAAUAUGAUAAAACAGUAAAAUAAACUUACUGGUUCAGUAAGCGUGCUGUCCUUUUCUAAAAAUUGAACUACACAGUAUGCCAACUAAAUAAAAAAAGAUAAAGUGUAUAUUAAACAGUUAAACCAAAGUAUUUCAAUGUAAGCAUAUGCCACAUACAAAUUUUAACAUUAAAAAUUCGAGAAUAGUUCCAAAUUCAGGUAAAAACACCUUCAUCUAUUCCAUGUAGUAAAAAUAUUUGAAUAAUUUUUAUUCCUGUAUUUUCAGACACACUUUAAACAGCAAUGGUACAUCAUACUUUCAAAGUAUGAAAUAUAAUAUUUUGAGUUACAGUAGAUCUUUAAUGAUGUUUUGACAAUAUUUAAUUUGACUAAUAUCCCACUACUAUUUUCACAUUCUUUUCUGCUGGCUUAUGAACAUACUCAGUCUCAUGAUUGUUCAAAAAAUUAAGUUCCUUAAUGUUGUUCCUUGAAAAAAGCCAAGACAUCUUUAUGUCAAACUUUAUAUUUUUUUGCCUCACAAAAAGAAAGAACUUAUCAGUAAUUAUGUUUACUGUAAUUUCCUCUUCCCAGUAACUGAAUGUGGUAUGUUUCCACUUAUCAGAAAUCACGGAGAUAAAAAUACUGGGUCUUUCCAGAAUAUACAAAGGAGCCAAUACCUCUCCUAUACAACCAACCAUGGUUCUUUCUACAAAAACAUACAACCCUAAAAAUAUGGGGGGGGAGGAGGGUAGUAUCAAGAUGCGGGAAGUGAAAACUGAUAAAGAUGACAAUAAGUAAUUCUCUCUUGUUGAAGGUCUCCUUUACCCCCAUCCUAUAAUGAACCAGAGUGCACAGAUGUGGCAACUAGCGCCAACUUAGAAAGAAGGCUUACCUCAAGUUACUGCCUAAAAAUGCUCUGUCCAUAUAUGGCCUCUUCCUCUGAGAAGAGACUGACUUUAUAGUAACACCCAAAUGUGAUAGGUACUGACCAGGAAGCAGCUCUACAGAUUUCUUGGACAGAUGCCUCAGUCCUUUCUACUCAAGAUACAUUGUAAGCCUCUGUUCAAAUGCCCUGUUAUUUCCUGUGCAGGGGUUAUCUUGUCAUCUUGUAAAUUAGGCAAAUAUUCUAAAGCCAACUUCUAGUACUGAAGUGGUCGAGGAACCUCUUUUCUUUGUUAGGGCUCUUGACAUACAGAAAUAACUGCUUGUUGAACUCUAAAGCUUUUAGUGUACUGCACAUGUCCAAAGCAUGAAGCUUCUGCUUUCACAAAAGCUUUCUGCUUUUUUCAGGGGAAAAAACUUAAUAUGCAUCUCUGAGUUAGGUUAGGAAUGAACAAACCUCCAGAAAAACAUUACAUAAGGAGGAUCAAAGAGAUUAAUUUACCAACCCUCCUAGUAACUUUUCCAACUAAAAGGGUUUUUUCACCAAGAGGGAGGAAUCAACAGUUUGCAGCAGUCAAAACCCACAGGGAUUUAUCCUCACCUGGAGAAACAAAGUUUAAAACUGCUUUUCCCCAGUAGAUUGUAAGGCUGGACAGUGAAGCUUUCUGAGAUUUAAACAAUUGAGAUACAAAGGUGAGACCCUGGCUCAUUCCUAUCCAUUGGUCCCUGGUUAUGGAAAGAGCAGAUGUGGAUUCAGAAAUCCCCUAUUAAAGUCCCCCCCCAAGCUCUUAGCAGAACAUCAACUUUUAAACAGUUUCUAGAGCCUGAUAUAUGUCCUCCUGUGGAACCCUUUUAGCACCUUAGAUUUUCAACCAGUUCCCUUUGUCAAGAACCUGUGGUAUUCACUCUGAAGGCAGUAACACUAAGUUACCUUUGGAUGAAGCAAAGUCAACCUUAUUGACAGCUUCCAACAUGGAGAGCCAGAUUCAUAAGGUCUCAGAAGAGUGCAUAAAAAGAAGACUCUUCUAUAUGCGCUACUGGAUUUUGCAAGUCUCAGCAAUGGAUGGAAUGAUGUCGCCCAAGUCUCUCCCCCAAUACACUGAAAAAACAUCCAAACCAAUGGGUUGGGUCACUGAAAGAAAACCUGGAUUUUUUUUUUUUUUUGCUGAGUUUCUGGUUGCAGACCAAUCCACUGAUGGAUGACUCUGAUGCCGAGGAAUGAACUGGAACAUCUUCAGCUUCAGGCUCUUCCAGGGUCAGCUUCUGCCGGAUGGCACAAUCCACCCAGACAUUGUCUUUAUCCUGUAAAUUAACUACUCUGAUGGAAGUCUGUAAUUUCCAUCCAAUGCAAAAGCCCAGUGCUUCUGAAAGCAGAAUCAAACUUUUAGAGUGUCCUGUUGCACUGUACAUGAAGCCUUUUGAAUAACUGAUUCAAACCUGGAACCUGACAGGUGUGAGAUUCGACAGUUUGGAGAACUCAGAAAGAACCCUCCUACCCUGUAGGCAAAGGGACUAGAGGCAUACCCGAGCCUAAAUCCCAAAAGAGAUUGCUUUCUGUACUCCAGAAAAUAAGCAUACAGCUGAUGGAAUUGGGAGAAGGUCUUCUGAUCAACUAACAUGUUUCCACUUUGCUAGAAAGAAAAUGAUCAAUCUUUAAUCAAGUCACUCACAGGGAUGCCUAGAAAAAAAACGGUUGGGAAACAAGGAAUGUAAAGGGACAGGUGGAGUGAUCAGUUGAGGCAGCAUGAUGUGAAGAACAGCCCUGAUAAUGCCCUCUAGCUAAAACUUAACACCCCCCCCAAAAAAGGCAAACUCCAGGAGAGUGAAGAGAGUGUAUGUUUUGUUUUUGUGGUGAGAUUUUUGUCCUCUGGAGCCAAUGGGCACAAGAAACCCUUCCUAUCUGACACAGGCAGAUGAAAGAGGCAGAGACUGGAUAUUUUCUUGUUACUGAAGAACAACUGUUGGCAGUUCAAAGUCUCCCUGGCUGAAAGCAGAUCACAGGAAGAUGAAUGGAGGUUGAAGCCCAAAAGACGGAAGGAAAAAUGAUGGGGAUAGAACCAUGUCUCCAACUGGGAUCCUGGUUAUACAACAAAGGAGCAGAGUGGGGAUGGCAAAGGAAAAGGCUGAUCUCGCGUGCACCCGACCUAAGACAUUGUUGAACAACUGGGAAACCUCAGUGCCUCACCAUAGGUAGAAUGGGGAGGAGGCCUGUAAGUGUUUCCCCCACAGAAGUUUUGGCUUGGCCCUGAAGCUGGUUGCUUAAGAUUCUUUCCUGUCUUUUUUUUUUGGGGUGGGGAGGGGAGAGAAGGGGGAGCUGAAAAGGACAAAUGAAGUAAAGGGCUGAGGCACAGAUUCUGUGCUCCCUGGAAGUAAUAAAAAGGAUGAAGAGAGGAAGGGAGGUUGUGACUUAAGUAUCAAUUUAAACCAGUAGAACUGUUCCAAGGUGCAUGCAAUUUGUUUGAAUUGGACUCACUGGUUAAGAGUCAGGUGUCUUGUCUUAUAAAAAAUCGUCAAUAUACAAUUUCUCAUAUAAUGUAAAUAUGGAAUGCUCUGAAUUUUCUGGGAACUGGGUUGCAGUUGGAGAAAAGAAACAUACGGUCUCUAAUUCAUCAGAGAACAUGAGGAAGAUAAGCCAACGAAGGCUAAUUUUAAACAUAUUUUAUAUAUAGGUGGGAAGAAAAAAAUUCACACAUUAUCUGAAAGAAUUAAAUUAGUUAAAAGAAUAAAAAAAAGCAAAUUCUAGAAUGCAUUACCUUCAAAUAUUAUACUUAAAGAUUAAGGGAUGAGUUUUGGUGGUUUUAUCCUAAUCUUCAUUUGUAUAAUGUUUUUCUAAUAUACACAACGUGUCACAAUGGCACUUUUUGAUCAUGGUCCAGCAUUGAAGUAAUGUCAGAACAAGGUGUUACAAAGUCAGGACUCAUGUUCAUUGGGAGUAGCAUGGGGAACACUGCAUAGCACCUGUAAACCAAUCCUAUUUAGUCCUUCGCUUUCAUACUAACUAAGUUCCGUCAAAAGAUCAAUGAAAUACAUGAAGGAUUUGAGACAAAUGUCAAAGCAUGGAUUUAUUGUAAAUUCCUUAUUUCUUGGUUUUUGUCAGAUCCCUGACAAACAGCUACUCUCCUUUUUUGCUUUGUUCCAACUAGAUCAUCUUCUGAUGGAAGCAGCAGCAAGUUAAAGGUUUGAUGCAUUUAUGCCAGAAAUAUUACUUUGAGUUCCAAUAGAUGCAUGAAUGAGAAAUUUAUUACCUGAUAAUUUUCUCUCUGUUACCAGCUUCUCUCUGAAUUCGUUACUCAGGGGCUAAUGCCCCCUCCACCUGUGGAAUUUGGAGGUGGAUCAAUAUUGUUGCUGGAGGCUCCAGCAUUAUGAUUUGACCUUCAGCUCAGGUCAUCAAAAAGUUCUUAUUACAGCUAUAGAAACACUACAGUAACAAUUAUUAAUAUUAUGACAACUUGAUACAAUGUACUAAUGUAUUAGAAAAAAAAUUCUAUUUAUAUUCUGGUCAUUUACCAGACUACCAUGGUGGUUGAAUUUGGAGAGAAGCUCUAGGAAUGCCCAUUUAUGCCCCAACCAUCCAAGAGUUAGAACAGAAUGAAGAGAAAACUAUUCCACCAAUUGUGUAAAGAGGAACUUGCCUUGAACAGAAAGGUUUCUGGAGCUACAAGAACUUUUUCCUCAUGACAAAAGCAGUGUGAUUCCCGUAUGGCUAUAGGAAGUAAUUCUAAAACUUGCCUUUUUGAGGUAAUGGCAACUAGAAAGAAUAGCCACACACUUGUCUAAUUUAAUCAUUGCGAUUAAAAGUGGCACCUACACUCAAAUGGAAGAUCCAAUGUGCCUGUCCACAAAUACUGCUAUGGCUCAUGUCAUGUUCCUAUGGUGCCUAGUUAUAGGACUCUAAUCAAAUCUUCUAGCCGAGGUCACUAGAAUUUGGGGAUUAUAAUAUUUGCAUAACAGGAGCAUCCAGAGGUCAGGGCUCCCUUGUGCUAGGCACUGCACAAAGAGGCAAAUUCCUGCCUCAAAGAGUUUUGUUUUUCCUCAGACCUGAAAUGCAAAUUUGACCAGAUCAGUGAAUGAAUGAAAUAUCCUGGUUGAGUUCUGUCAGGAUACUAAACUGUAUCAGAGGUUAAUGGAGAAUCCAUAUUGAACUACACUUUUCUUCUGAUGCCCAAGUUCUUAACUGUAAGCGUCUCCAAUCUGAAUGAAGGAGUCCCUGUUUCAAAAGGUCUGAUGUUUUCUGCAGGUACAAUGUAGGGUUCUUGGCUAUCUAGCAAGUCUAAAGUGCUUUCUGGGCUGUGGAGGACUAAAAGGAGCACCACAACUCUUCCUAUUCCUGUUUUUGUAUCCUUUAUGUGAACCAUCUUGAAGGGUAACAGUCUUUAACUAGAACAUUAUUUCCAUUGCCACGGAAAAGCUUUGAUCUCUGAUUAAUCCCUGGUUUUGGAAUUGAUAGAAACACUCAUGUCUCAAUCAUAAUACAACCCCUAAUGGGAAGUAGGAGGAGACUUCCUUUGAGAGUACCAUAAUUGCCCACUACGUGGUUUAUUGCACCGUUUACUGAUGCAGUUGGUACUGGUCACUAGUCAAGAUGGACCACUGAUCUGAUCCCGUCACCGUGUUUGCAUGUUUUGCUGUUUCUUUUUUCUUUUUCAAUAAAGAUAUACCCUGAUAAAGAUCUUGAAAUGAACCAAAUGAUUUUGAAAAAAUUGUAUUCCAAGUAUGCUUGCUUCCAUAGUGAGUAAGUAAGGGUCUAGAACAAAAGUUGGGUGGCUUUCAGCAUGUUUGCAUUUUGGAAAAGAAUCAGCACACUUCAGUGUACAGAACUGUUGGAGAUGCGUGCCCUCAGAAAUCCUAGCGAGACAGCACCAGUGAGGAAACAGUAAUUUUCACAAACCUCACAAUCCUUUGAGGUUACAAAGGACUGUGGUAUAGGGGCGGUUGCAGGAUAAUUUUUAGACUAUUUUGUGAGUUGCCGAGGAAAAAAAUCCCCACAAAAACCACAGCUGUUCUUAACUGGCCAUUUGAUUCUUCAUCCCAGACUUAUUUUGGUC
This is a long non-coding RNA of Dermochelys coriacea (leatherback sea turtle), 11391 nucleotides long. RefSeq lists it as uncharacterized. Lineage: Eukaryota; Metazoa; Chordata; Testudines; Dermochelyidae. The record is from RefSeq and is a predicted model, not a curated record. The transcript is spliced from 3 exons.